Molecule: ribosomal RNA, 714 nt
Filed under: Acinetobacter johnsonii
Lineage: Bacteria; Pseudomonadati; Pseudomonadota; Gammaproteobacteria; Moraxellales; Moraxellaceae
Description: bacterial SSU rRNA
Rfam family: Bacterial small subunit ribosomal RNA
Source: RNAcentral
AUACGCCCUACGGGGGAAAGCAGGGGAUCUUCGGACCUUGCGCUAAUAGAUGAGCCUAAGUCAGAUUAGCUAGUUGGUGGGGUAAAGGCCUACCAAGGCGACGAUCUGUAGCGGGUCUGAGAGGAUGAUCCGCCACACUGGGACUGAGACACGGCCCAGACUCCUACGGGAGGCAGCAGUGGGGAAUAUUGGACAAUGGGCGAAAGCCUGAUCCAGCCAUGCCGCGUGUGUGAAGAAGGCCUUUUGGUUGUAAAGCACUUUAAGCGAGGAGGAGGCUACUUGGAUUAAUACUCUAGGAUAGUGGACGUUACUCGCAGAAUAAGCACCGGCUAACUCUGUGCCAGCAGCCGCGGUAAUACAGAGGGUGCGAGCGUUAAUCGGAUUUACUGGGCGUAAAGCGUGCGUAGGCGGCUUUUUAAGUCGGAUGUGAAAUCCCUGAGCUUAACUUAGGAAUUGCAUUCGAUACUGGGAAGCUAGAGUAUGGGAGAGGAUGGUAGAAUUCCAGGUGUAGCGGUGAAAUGCGUAGAGAUCUGGAGGAAUACCGAUGGCGAAGGCAGCCAUCUGGCCUAAUACUGACGCUGAGGUACGAAAGCAUGGGGAGCAAACAGGAUUAGAUACCCUGGUAGUCCAUGCCGUAAACGAUGUCUACUAGCCGUUGGGGCCUUUGAGGCUUUAGUGGCGCAGCUAACGCGAUAAGUAGACCGCCCUGGGGGA